GCUUGCUCCCUGAUGUUAGCGGCGGACGGGUGAGUAACACGUGGGUAACCUGCCUGUAAGACUGGGAUAACUCCGGGAAACCGGGGCUAAUACCGGAUGGUUGUUUGAACCGCAUGGUUCAGACAUAAAAGGUGGCUUCGGCUACCACUUACAGAUGGACCCGCGGCGCAUUAGCUAGUUGGUGAGGUAACGGCUCACCAAGGCGACGAUGCGUAGCCGACCUGAGAGGGUGAUCGGCCACACUGGGACUGAGACACGGCCCAGACUCCUACGGGAGGCAGCAGUAGGGAAUCUUCCGCAAUGGACGAAAGUCUGACGGAGCAACGCCGCGUGAGUGAUGAAGGUUUUCGGAUCGUAAAGCUCUGUUGUUAGGGAAGAACAAGUGCCGUUCAAAUAGGGCGGCACCUUGACGGUACCUAACCAGAAAGCCACGGCUAACUACGUGCCAGCAGCCGCGGUAAUACGUAGGUGGCAAGCGUUGUCCGGAAUUAUUGGGCGUAAAGGGCUCGCAGGCGGUUUCUUAAGUCUGAUGUGAAAGCCCCCGGCUCAACCGGGGAGGGUCAUUGGAAACUGGGGAACUUGAGUGCAGAAGAGGAGAGUGGAAUUCCACGUGUAGCGGUGAAAUGCGUAGAGAUGUGGAGGAACACCNGUGGGCGAAAGCGACUCUCUGGUCUGUAACUGAC
RNAcentral lists this ribosomal RNA (683 nucleotides) under Bacillus siamensis. Its description in RNAcentral is "bacterial SSU rRNA". It matches the Rfam family "Bacterial small subunit ribosomal RNA", at positions 78 to 744 of the family's 1533-position model. Lineage: Bacteria; Bacillati; Bacillota; Bacilli; Caryophanales; Bacillaceae. The record is from RNAcentral.